UCUCCGUUGGCGAACCAGCGGAGGGAUCAUUACAGGACUCGCAAGACUCCUACAACCCUGUGAACUUAACUAUAAGCACGUUGCUUCGGCGGGUGUCUCGGAGGGGGUUCUCCCUCCCCGAGACGCUAAACCCGCCGGCAGCCUACUAUACUCUGUCUCUUUGCGUUGGCAUCUCGAGUACAAUCAAGCAAGUUAAAACUUUCAACAACGGAUCUCUUGGUUCUG
This 225-nucleotide unclassified non-coding RNA is filed under the name plant metagenome. RNAcentral's name for it is "partial contains small subunit ribosomal RNA, internal transcribed spacer 1, and 5.8S ribosomal RNA". The record is from RNAcentral.